GACGAACGCUGGCGGCGUGCUUAACACAUGCAAGUCGAGCGGUAAGGCCCUUUCGGGGGUACGACGAGCGGCGAACGGGUGAGUAACACGUGGGUGACCUGCCCUCAGCUCUGGGAUAAGCCUGGGAAACCGGGUCUAAUACCGGAUAUGACCUCAUGACGCAUGUUGUGGGGUGGAAAGCCUUGUGCGGCUGAGGAUGGGCCCGCGGCCUAUCAGCUUGUUGGUGGGGUGAUGGCCUACCAAGGCGACGACGGGUAGCCGGCCUGAGAGGGCGACCGGCCACACUGGGACUGAGACACGGCCCAGACUCCUACGGGAGGCAGCAGUGGGGAAUCUUGCGCAAUGGGCGAAAGCCUGACGCAGCGACGCCGCGUGAGGGAUGACGGCCUGGUGUAAC
This 397-nucleotide ribosomal RNA is filed under the name uncultured bacterium. RNAcentral's name for it is "bacterial SSU rRNA". It matches the Rfam family "Bacterial small subunit ribosomal RNA", at positions 28 to 429 of the family's 1533-position model. The record is from RNAcentral.